This 450-nucleotide ribosomal RNA is filed under the name uncultured bacterium. RNAcentral describes it as "partial 16S ribosomal RNA". It matches the Rfam family "Bacterial small subunit ribosomal RNA", at positions 354 to 796 of the family's 1533-position model. The record is from RNAcentral.
GUGGGGAAUAUUCCGCAAUGGACGAAAGUCUGACGGAGCAACGCCGCGUGAGUGAUGAAGGUUUUCGGACUGUAAAGCUCUGUUGUUUAGGACGAAAGUGCCUGUUGCAAAUAGUUACAGGUAUUGACGGUACUGAACGAGGAAGCCACGGCUAACUACGUGCCAGCAGCCGCGGUAAUACGUAGGUGGCAAGCGUUGUCCGGAAUUAUUGGGCGUAAAGAGCAUGUAGGCGGGAAUCUAAGUCUGUUGUGAAAAUGCGGGGCUCAACCCCGUAUUGCGAUGGAAACUGGGUUUCGUGAGUGCAGGAGAGGAAAGGGGAAUUCCCAGUGUAGCGGUGAAAUGCGUAGAUAUUGGGAGGAACACCAGUGGCGAAGGCGCCUUUCUGGACUGUGUCUGACGCUGAGAUGCGAAAGCCAGGGUAGCGAACGGGAUUAGAAACCCCAGUAGUCC